UUAAUGUAACACACCUUAUUAAUAUAUCAAUAAUACUCUCUAGCUAGCCCAUGUGAUACUGAAGGUGUGUCUCAACAGAGACCAACCACACGAUACUGAAGGUGUGUCUCAACAGAAACCAACCACGUGAUACUGAAGGUGUGUCUCAACAGAAACCAACCACACGAUACUGAAGGUGUGUCUCAACAGAAACCAACCACGUGAUACUGAAGGUGUGUCUCAACA
This is a long non-coding RNA of Pecten maximus, 225 nucleotides long. RefSeq lists it as uncharacterized. The transcript has 2 exons. The record is from RefSeq and is a predicted model, not a curated record. Lineage: Eukaryota; Metazoa; Mollusca; Bivalvia; Pectinida; Pectinidae.